This is a long non-coding RNA of Ornithorhynchus anatinus (platypus), 1482 nucleotides long. RefSeq lists it as uncharacterized. The record is from RefSeq and is a predicted model, not a curated record. The transcript has 4 exons. NCBI's taxonomy places the organism in Eukaryota, Metazoa, Chordata, Mammalia, Monotremata, Ornithorhynchidae.
AGCAAGAGAUAGAGACAAUCCCUGCCCAACAAUGGGCUCACAGUCACAAAAGUACAAACACCACGCCUUCCAUCUGGAGGCUUGGUGAACUGGACUGGGAUGAGCAGUGUGACACCAUUCUGGCUUUAGGAAGACAAACUUAGAGACAAGUUCCAGAUGAUUUCUCUUUGAGUCUCAUGAAGACAACUUGCUCCAAAAGGAACAAGAAUACCGUCCUUUCUGCAACUUGGGACAGUGCUUGACAGGAGAACAGGAGAACACAGUUAUUGCAAAGCUUUUGCACAUUGGCUAUCAACUGGCUGUAACAUGAUGAGCCUCUGCCAAGAAUGCUGUUUCGGGCAGAUAACGUGGAAAUGCUGUUAACUAGUCUUUUGUUAAUAUUUCAGUUUUGACUAUUUAAAAUUCGUUGUUUACUAGAAAUUGAUUUUAAGCAGUGCAAAUUGGUGACCACUGAUAAGACUCAAAUCAAUAACCGAGAAACAAGAAGUAAAGUUGGGGGGUUUAAGCUUAAUGAAGUGAAAACCUGAAGCGAAAGGAACUUCUCACGGAUCUUUCAUCUUCCACAGCCAUCUCAAAUUUCACCCAGUGUGGUAGAAGUCAUGUACUAUUUCCUCAUGAUGGAGGGACGAGAAUUUGGCAUCUCAUCUUUUCCCCCCACAAUGACCUCCCUAGACUCCUAGAGAGCCAGGAACACUGCCCACCUACCUUAGAGCAGAUGGCAUGGAGUGACUGUUUUAGCUGAAUUCUAUCCCACUGAAGUGCAUGUUUUGGGCAAUGUACAAUGAAGCCAAAAAAUAUCAGCUGGAUUUACAGGAUGGCAUGUCAACCAAGAGAUCAUCAUGAUGAAAUAUCCCUGACCAAUCAUCUUGCAGAGCCUGCACCCUGCACUCCUUCCUCUCACCUCUCAUUUUCAAGCUGAUGGUGCCAUUUUGCUCAGUAGGAAUCUGAAUCAUCUUUUCAAGUGUUCCACAGCAUCCCAUCUUCUCCACAUUGUGCACGUACCCACCAUCGUUUCUGUCCCUGUCCCAGACGCGGGCCAGCCCUCCUCCGCCCUCACCGUGGCGGCAACAGCCUGAGGUCUCUUGGUGGUGCAUGUACUCCGGCACUCCAGCACUCAGCCCCACAAGUGGCGGGAACCAGAUUCCACCCACCGCUCCAUGCUUUGGAGUCCAGUGGGGGUCCAACCCCGGUGCCUCGCUUCUGCCCAAACCUCAAGCCCCGGACCCCGGUCACAUGGAAGUGCGGAACUAAGGAUGGCCGGUACCAGCAUGCCCCAUGAGGAGGAGCGGACGUUCAUGGCAACGACCACUGAGUUACAGUCCAGCAACCACUGGAAGGACAUGGAGGAUUUGUGUCAGCAUGACUGUCUGGAGGAGGGAUUAGGACAAAAGGCAACAUAUGCUCAGAAUGCUAAGUAGGCAAUAUAUGCCCAUGACUGGGACCUUCUGGGAGGGAAUGGGAAUAAAGGCACUUGGACCGGAA